AGUGAACGCUGGCGGCAGGCCUAACACAUGCAAGUCGAACGGCAGCACAGUAAGAGCUUGCUCUUACGGGUGGCGAGUGGCGGACGGGUGAGGAAUACAUCGGAAUCUACUUUUUCGUGGGGGAUAACGUAGGGAAACUUACGCUAAUACCGCAUACGACCUACGGGUGAAAGCAGGGGAUCUUCGGACCUUGCGCGAUUGAAUUAGCCGAUGUCGGAUUAGCUAGUUGGCGGGGUAAAGGCCCACCAAGGCGACGAUCCGUAGCUGGUCUGAGAGGAUGAUCAGCCACACUGGAACUGAGACACGGUCCAGACUCCUACGGGAGGCAGCAGUGGGGAAUAUUGGACAAUGGGCGCAAGCCUGAUCCAGCCAUACCGCGUGGGUGAAGAAGGCCUUCGGGUUGUAAAGCCCUUUUGUUGGGAAAGAAAAGCAGCAGGUUAAUACCCCGCUGUUCUGACGGUACCCAAAGAAUAAGCACCGGCUAACUUCGUG
Molecule: ribosomal RNA, 492 nt
Filed under: uncultured bacterium
Lineage: Bacteria
Description: partial 16S ribosomal RNA
Rfam family: Bacterial small subunit ribosomal RNA
Source: RNAcentral